This 508-nucleotide ribosomal RNA is filed under the name uncultured bacterium. RNAcentral describes it as "partial 16S ribosomal RNA". It matches the Rfam family "Bacterial small subunit ribosomal RNA", at positions 28 to 507 of the family's 1533-position model. The record is from RNAcentral.
GACGAACGCUGGCGGCGUGCCUAAUACAUGCAAGUCGAACGCUUCUUUCCUCCCGAGUGCUUGCACUCAAUUGGAAAGAGGAGUGGCGGACGGGUGAGUAACACGUGGGUAACCUACCCAUCAGAGGGGGAUAACACUUGGAAACAGGUGCUAAUACCGCAUAACAGUUUAUGCCGCAUGGCAUAAGAGUGAAAGGCGCUUUCGGGUGUCGCUGAUGGAUGGACCCGCGGUGCAUUAGCUAGUUGGUGAGGUAACGGCUCACCAAGGCCACGAUGCAUAGCCGAACUGAGAGGGUGAUCGGCCACACUGGGACUGAGACACGGCCCAGACUCCUACGGGAGGCAGCAGUAGGGAAUCUUCGGCAAAGGACGAAAGUCUGACCGAGCAACGCCGCGUGAGUGAAGAAGGUUUUCGGAUCGUAAAACUCUGUUGUUAGAGAAGAACAAGGACGUUAGUAACUGAACGUCCCCUGACGGUAUCUAACCAGAAAGCCACGGCUAACUACGUG